This 433-nucleotide unclassified non-coding RNA is filed under the name soil metagenome. Its description in RNAcentral is "partial contains 5.8S ribosomal RNA, internal transcribed spacer 2, and large subunit ribosomal RNA". The stretch from base 1 to 120 matches the Rfam family "5.8S ribosomal RNA", at positions 35 to 154 of the family's 154-position model. The record is from RNAcentral.
GAUGAAGAACGUAGCGAAAUGCGAUACGUAAUGUGAAUUGCAGAAUUCAGUGAAUCAUCGAAUCUUUGAACGCAUAUUGCGCUCUCUGGUAUUCCGGAGAGCAUGCUUGUUUGAGUAUCAGUAAACACCUCAACUUCCAUAUCUUUUUUGAAAUGGGAGUUGGACUUGAGUGAUCCCAACGCUUUUCCUCACCGAAAAGUGGCGGGUUACUUGAAAUGCAGGUGCAGCUGGACUUUUCUCUGAGCUAUAAGCAUAUCUAUUUAGUCUGCCUAAAAAACAGAUUAUUACCUUUGCUGCAGCUAACAUAAAGGAGAUUAGUUCUUGUGCUGACUGAUGCAGGAUUCACAAAGACAGGCUUCGGCCGACUUUGUAAACUCGAUCUCAAGUCAAGUAAGACUACCCGCUGAACUUAAGCAUAUCAAUAAGCGGAGGA